GACGUGAUUUGGCAAUGACUCGAGGUAGAGAAAACCUGUUACCAAUUUAUAUGGCAGCUCUGUUGGGGCAUAGAGGGAUGGUGUCAUAUCUUUAUGAUGGAACGAACGAGCAGUUAACAGAUAGCGAUCGCAUAACGUUACUUGUUGCUUUGAUCAACAGUGAAAUAUAUGAUUUGCGUUGAGAAUUCUAAAAGCACAUCCCGGGUUGGCCUGUGCUCGUGAUGAACAUCAGCUGACUGCUGGCGGCAUUGCAUGCACUUGCCCAAAAGUCUUGUAUGCCUUCAUAACGUUGUCGAUCAAAGUCCGAUCCUCCAGGAUUUUGGAACAAAUGCCUCGACCCAUUUUCAGGUUUCAAAUUGGCACAGAUGAAGAAACUUGUGCACAGACAAGCACUUGACAUAAUCCAGUACCUUUGGGAACAAGUUGUCUUGUUGGAUGAUUCAAGAAUCUCUAGCCAGAUUGGAAAACCCUGGCCAUUGAUAUUCACUGCUGCAGAAAGAGGGAACCUUGACUUGCUAACAAUACUUAUUCGCUUGUAUCCGGAGUUGAUCUUCAAAGUUGAUCAAAAUACGUAUAGCAUAUUUCAUAUUGCUAUCUUGAAUCGUCACGAGGACAUCUUCAAGAUUAUAUACCAGAUUGGUUCUAUUAAGAAUGUGAUGACAAUAUACAAAGAUAGAGAAGGAAAUAAUAUGUUGCAUUUGACCGCAAAAGUACUGGAAUCACCAAGUCGACUUAAUGUCACACCAGGAGCAGCUUUACAACUGCAACGCGAAUUGCUGUGGUUCGAGGUGACUAUUCUCUCUCUUUCCAUCAAAAAAAUACAUUUGAUUGUAGGUCAUAUGCAUUAAGCCAACCUUAUUCGUCCAUCAUAUGAUAAGUGGAUAAGAUCGAUGUUCAUAUGCACGCGCAUGUGAUUAAAUAUUGCUAUAAUAUUCUCCUUCUAUAUAUGAAUACCUCGCAGUCUGAUCUCUACAUGAUGAUCACGCAUGUUCCUUGUUCCAAGUAAUUUAAAAUCAACACA
This is a long non-coding RNA of Populus euphratica (Euphrates poplar), 1021 nucleotides long. RefSeq lists it as uncharacterized. NCBI's taxonomy places the organism in Eukaryota, Viridiplantae, Streptophyta, Magnoliopsida, Malpighiales, Salicaceae. The record is from RefSeq and is a predicted model, not a curated record. The transcript has 3 exons.